This 497-nucleotide ribosomal RNA is filed under the name uncultured bacterium. Its description in RNAcentral is "partial 16S ribosomal RNA". It matches the Rfam family "Bacterial small subunit ribosomal RNA", at positions 28 to 507 of the family's 1533-position model. The record is from RNAcentral.
GAUGAACGCUGGCGGCGUGCCUAAUACAUGCAAGUCGAGCGAACAGACGAGGAGCUUGCUCCUCUGACGUUAGCGGCGGACGGGUGAGUAACACGUGGAUAACCUACCUAUAAGACUGGGAUAACUUCGGGAAACCGGAGCUAAUACCGGGUAAUAUAUUGAACCGCAUGGUUCAAUAGUGAAAGACGGUUUUGCUGUCACUUAUAGAUGGAUCCGCGCCGCAUUAGCUAGUUGGUAAGGUAACGGCUUACCAAGGCAACGAUGCGUAGCCGACCUGAGAGGGUGAUCGGCCACACUGGAACUGAGGCACGGUCCAGACUCCUACGGGAGGCAGCAGUAGGGAAUCUUCCGCAAUGGGCGAAAGCUUGACGGAGCAACGCCGCGUGAGUGAUGAAGGUCUUCGGAUCGUAAAACUCUGUUAUUAGGGAAGAACAAAUGUGUAAGUAACUAUGCACGUCUUGACGGUACCUAAUCAGAAAGCCACGGCUAACUACGUG